UGACGGUAUUCAACCAGAAAGUCACGGCUAACUACGUGCCAGCAGCCGCGGUAAUACGUAGGUGGCAAGCGUUAUCCGGAUUUAUUGGGCGUAAAGAGAGUGCAGGCGGUUUCUUAAGUCUGAUGUGAAAGCCUUCGGCUCAACCGAAGAAGUGCAUCGGAAACUGGGAAACUUGAGUACAGAAGAGGAGAGUGGAACUCCAUGUGUAGCGGUGAAAUGCGUAGAUAUAUGGAAGAACACCAGUGGCGAAAGCGGCUCUCUGGUCUGUAACUGACGCUGAGGUUCGAAAGCGUGGGUAGCAAACAGGAUUAGAUACCCUG
RNAcentral lists this ribosomal RNA (320 nucleotides) under uncultured bacterium. RNAcentral describes it as "bacterial SSU rRNA". It matches the Rfam family "Bacterial small subunit ribosomal RNA", at positions 470 to 789 of the family's 1533-position model. The record is from RNAcentral.